This is an RNA transcript of Papaver somniferum (opium poppy), 2830 nucleotides long. It is a transcript of the gene named chaperone protein DnaK-like, with no coding region annotated. Lineage: Eukaryota; Viridiplantae; Streptophyta; Magnoliopsida; Ranunculales; Papaveraceae. The record is from RefSeq and is a predicted model, not a curated record. The transcript is spliced from 6 exons.
UCCGCCUUUCUCUUUCUUCUCCCCCUCACCUUUGCAGCUCUCUUUCUCCUUCUCCCUCACCUUCACAGAUGAAGUUGUUUUCUAUUUCUUCUUCAUCUCAUCAGCACGGCGACCACCACCAACACCUGAUUCCUCCUCUUCUCACUUUUCUUUCUUUUCUCACCAAUAGUUGAAGAAUCAUUACGAGAAAUAAAACCCUGGCUGUCUUCUACAAACUAAACAACAAAUCGAAGAAAAUACAUCAUUUUAUUUAAUCUUUAUCCAGUUUCUUCGAUCUACAAACCUAAUUUGAUAUUUCCUAUGCAAGAUUUGGGUCGGAAUUAGAAAAGAUCAGAUUAGAUGUUUUAUAGACGGGAGAAGAAGAAUAAGAAGAUUUAGAGGUGGGUUUUGGCGAUGGUAAUGAUGAAGAAUACUUAUCCAUGGUUGAACAGGUCUUGAGAAAUCUUGUGGAUGAUGCAUCAAUGAGCCUAGCUACUGCUUCUUCUUUGGCCUAUGGGUUGGAGAAGAAAGACAACCGAACUUUCCUAGUGUUUGAUCUUGAUGGUGGUAUCUUUGAUGUUUCAGCUCAGUGGUAUGGUGGAUGAAAGUCCUGCUCAGGAAGCUAGUAUAAGCGCAUUUACUGGGGAAAGUUCAGAUUCUAUUGUUGACGUUAAUGUUAAGACCUUGGAUCCACAAAUCUAUACAUUCCGAGUUGAGAAAAUUAUGAUUGUCCAAGGAGAACACAGCUAAGACAACUAGUGUGCCAGUUGAGCAGCAAUGUCUUAUUUUUAGGGGAAAUAUUUUGAAGGACAAUCAGUGCCUCUCAAAAUAUCGUAUCCUAACAUGUUCAUGUUUCAGAACUUCGAUUUGAGUAGUACUUAUUUGCAAUGACCAAGGAUCAAGGUCUCACAUAUUUAAUUUGUGAUUUUAGAACUGUUGCCUCUGCAUCACUAAAUUGAUAUUGUCUUAAAAGAUUUAGCAAACUGACUUACUACCUUAGCAAUUUGUUUUUCUAUUCUGAGAAAUAGUAUGAGAAAUCGACACCCUAAUAGGGUUGGAUCGAUCCAUCAGAGAGAUGAGCGAACCAAUGAGAGAAUAAAUUAGUCUACUCGCAAAUGACUUUAUUUUGUUGAUAUGAAAUGAUCCCACUACUGCUGCUCCGAUCAGGUUGGUCAAGUUUCACAUAACGUAGUUCUUGGAACGUUUAAUCUUGGGGACCAAAGUGAAAAUGGUGUUCCUAACUUUAGUCGGGCAUAAAACUCUUUGGUCAUUGGGCUUAUGCCUUCUAUUGUUGAUUCAUUUUGAUUUAUGCUUCAAAAUAUCUGUCUCUUCUGUAGAUUGUUGACGCUGUUUUAAAUUCUAUUGGGCUUGGGAGCCAGAUCCCUAUGGGCGCAACAAACACAUCAUCCAGUGUGCCUCUAAGUGACAUCCUAUUGGCAGAAUUUGGAGUAGCUCUUGCAGUGUGAGUGCACAAGAUUCUUCAGUAAACAAGACCUCGAGUAGGCACGCAAAAGCAAGUGCAUAUGUCCUCUGAAACUUCGUUGGAGGCUACCCUUCCUGCUCUUUUAUGCUAAGGUGUCUACAUGUUCUGAUCACCAUGAAGUAAAGCCUGCAUAGUAUGAAUAAGUAUGUCAGUUGGCUCUGUUAAGGUGCUGCCCUUUUAUCCAUCAUAUUUUCACUUGUCUGUUUGUUUUAGUUUGUGGAAAGUACUCUUACUGUUACUGGAUUGUGCUGAUCAGAAAGUUGUUGAAUUUUAAGUUGCAAGGGUGCAAAAUGAAACUAAAGUGAUGACUACAGAGAGUGGAACGUAACUUGGGAUGGCAUGAGGUAAGCAUCGUUAGUGUUCUCUUCUAGUUUCCUGCAGUAGUCAUAAGACUCAUAACCUUCCGAGUCUUUCCAGACAGGAACUUAUGUUACUACAUUGCGUUUUUCAAAUUUCUAACAUUUAGACAUUCAUCUAUAUCCUCCAUGUUGGUUUCUAUGCAAAUUAUGAUUAAGACCCUAGCAGAUAGGCAUUAAAAUUUUUGAUAACCGAGGUUACGUCGCAACCACAACAUGUAGGUCGUAGAGCAAAGCCUUACGAUCACAAGGCGAACAUUUUCAGUUUCACAAUUGUGUUGUAGGAGAUGCUAACUAGAAAGGUAAAAACUCUAGUAAAAUUUUGUUUGGAAACUGAACUUGGCGAAAAUUCUUGAGUAAAAUAUACACUUCACUUCAAAUAUACAGUUUUACUAAUUGUUACCAUUUGCCCUGUAACAGGCAGCUUCUUUACGAGUACUUAUCAUACUUAUCAUGCCUACGGUUUUCAUUGCCUAUAUAUGGUUUAUUUGUUCGUCUCAAUGAAGUCACUACGUAAAUGUUGUUGCUGUUAUUGUCUUGAUGAUGGGUCUAUUAGACCACCUCCGUGUAUAUUAUUAUCCACUAGUAAUGGAUACCUUCAUGGAUGCCGUCACUCUCUUCCCGAUGGUCUCAUGAGGGUUGCUGAUGUCAUGGUUGAUGGUGAGAUCGUUGUUGCUGCUGGAUAAGGAAAUGUCGGAAAGGGUUGUGCUUCUACAGGAUCUUCUCUCAAGCAAGCCGGUGCCAAGGUCCUAAUGACUGAACUUGUGGUUGAAAUUUUUAGGACUUGUUGUAUCACUUCUCUUUAAGAAACCUUAAUUAUAGGGAGUUGAAUCCUUUUUUUUAUGGUUUUGGACUAAAUUUAUGAGCACAGUUCAAUGUAAUGGAGCUGUCAUUUGGUAUUAGAUGAUUUAGGUUUUAUUUGGAACUUGAAUUUGAAUUUUAGUAUUAAUUGUCAUUUGAAUUUCACUUGAAUUUGAAAAUUUUAGUAAUUUUAUUUGAAUUUGAAUUGUCA